GGUCAAGCUACAAAGAGCUAACGGUGGAUACCUAGGCACA
RNAcentral lists this ribosomal RNA (40 nucleotides) under Phormidium sp. OL S12. RNAcentral's name for it is "partial 23S ribosomal RNA". The record is from RNAcentral. RNAcentral also lists the same sequence under 1 other name. Lineage: Bacteria; Bacillati; Cyanobacteriota; Cyanophyceae; Oscillatoriales; Oscillatoriaceae.